UCCUCGUUAGCUCAAUUGGUAGAGUGUUCUACUGGAAAUAGAGAGGUCCCUGAUUCGACACUUGGACCAGGCG
Molecule: non-coding RNA, 73 nt
Organism: Ixodes scapularis (black-legged tick)
Lineage: Eukaryota; Metazoa; Arthropoda; Arachnida; Ixodida; Ixodidae
Source: Rfam